Molecule: long non-coding RNA, 494 nt
Filed under: Olea europaea subsp. europaea
Lineage: Eukaryota; Viridiplantae; Streptophyta; Magnoliopsida; Lamiales; Oleaceae
Source: RNAcentral
AUGGUCCUCAACAGAAUUCACCAAUAUACAAUACUCUACUGUACAAAUAAAGAACACUGAGUAAAGUUCGAAGAAUUUCAUCAAUUAGAAUCAUUCCCUGAGCUGUAGCAGCUUAGAGCUUGAUGUGGGGUUGUGGAAUUUGAGCUUCCAGACUCACCUGGCUACUGAUACAAAUCCAAUCGCUCAUUUUAGGAGAGAUUUCCGUAUCUUCAUCUUGAUCUGUCCCCUUUUAGGAAGUAGCCUUUGAUUUGAUCUUCCUGACUCAAUCCCUACAGACACAAGUCCAACCUCUGAUUUUACUAGAAAUUUCAGUAUCUUCAUCUUGAUCUGUCCUCUUUGGGGAGGCAGCCUUUGAUUUUGCUUAGAUUUUGAGGGGAUGAAUUCCAUAGCUUAAACUUCAAUUGGAAAUUCUGAAAAUAGAGUAGUAGUCAAGAAAAUGAGAAAAACAGAGGGGGAUUUAAGCUUUGCGGGGGACCAAAACACGAAAUUCAAUU